This 480-nucleotide ribosomal RNA is filed under the name uncultured bacterium. RNAcentral describes it as "partial 16S ribosomal RNA". It matches the Rfam family "Bacterial small subunit ribosomal RNA", at positions 28 to 523 of the family's 1533-position model. The record is from RNAcentral.
GACGAACGCUGGCGGCGUGCUUAACACAUGCAAGUCGAACGGUAAGGCCCUUCGGGGUACACGAGUGGCGAACGGGUGAGUAACACGUGGGUGAUCUGCCCUGCACUUCGGGAUAAGCCUGGGCAACUGGGUCUAAUACCGGAUAGGACUCCUGGCUUCAUGGUUGGGGGUGGAAAGCUUUUGCGGUGUUGGGGACGGGCCCGCGGCCUAUCAGCUUGUUGUUGGGGUAAUGGCCUACCAAGGAGACGACGGGUAGCCGGCCUGAGAGGGUGACCGGUCACACUGGGACAGAGAUUCGGCCUAGACUCCUACGGUAGGCAGCAGUGGGGAAUAUUGCAAGAUGGGCGUAAGCCUGAUGCAGCGACGCCGCGGGAGGGAUGACGGCCUUCGGGUUGUAAACCUCUGUCAGCUAUGACGAAGCGCAAGUGACGGUAGUAGCAGAAGAAGGACCGGCCAACUACGUGCCAGCCGCCGCCGUAA